RNAcentral lists this ribosomal RNA (207 nucleotides) under uncultured bacterium. RNAcentral's name for it is "partial 16S ribosomal RNA". It matches the Rfam family "Bacterial small subunit ribosomal RNA", at positions 568 to 775 of the family's 1533-position model. The record is from RNAcentral.
UCCGUAGGGGUCUGCCAAGUCCGAUGUGAAAGCCCACGGCUCAACUGUGGAACGGCAUUGGAUACUGGCGGGCUGGAGUCUGCGAGGGGUGAGCGGAAUUCCUGGUGUAGCGGUGGAAUGCGUAGAUAUCAGGAAGAACACCGAUGGCGAAGGCGGCUCACUGGCGCAGUACUGACCCUGAGGGACGAAAGCGUGGGUAGCAAACAG